RNAcentral lists this ribosomal RNA (253 nucleotides) under uncultured bacterium. RNAcentral describes it as "partial 16S ribosomal RNA". It matches the Rfam family "Bacterial small subunit ribosomal RNA", at positions 524 to 776 of the family's 1533-position model. The record is from RNAcentral.
UACGAAGGGGGCUAGCGUUGCUCGGAAUCACUGGGCGUAAAGGGUGCGUAGGCGGGUCUUUAAGUCAGGGGUGAAAUCCUGGAGCUCAACUCCAGAACUGCCUUUGAUACUGAGGAUCUUGAGUUCGGGAGAGGUGAGUGGAACUGCGAGUGUAGAGGUGAAAUGCGCAGAUAUCGGGAAGAACACCCGUGGCGAAGGCGGCUCUCUGGGACGGUACUGACGCUGAGGCGCGAAAGCGUGGGGAGCGAUCCGG